This 541-nucleotide ribosomal RNA is filed under the name uncultured bacterium. RNAcentral's name for it is "bacterial SSU rRNA". It matches the Rfam family "Bacterial small subunit ribosomal RNA", at positions 355 to 896 of the family's 1533-position model. The record is from RNAcentral.
UAAGGAAUAUUGGUCAAUGGAGGGAACUCUGAGCCAGCCAUGCCGCGUGCAGGAUGACUGCCCUAUGGGUUGUAAACUGCUUUUGUCCAGGAAUAACUACCACUACGUGUAGUGGCUUGAAUGUACUGGAAGAAUAAGGAUCGGCUAACUCCGUGCCAACAGCCGCGGUAAUACGGAGGAUCCGAGCGUUAUCCGGAUUUAUUGGGUUUAAAGGGUGCGUAGGCGGCUCAUUAAGUCAGGGGUGAAAGACGGCAGCUCAACUGUCGCAGUGCCUUUGAUACUGAUGAGCUUGAAUGUGGUUGAAGAUGGCGGAAUGAGACAAGUAGCGGUGAAAUGCAUAGAUAUGUCUCAGAAUUCCGAUUGCGAAGGCAGCUGUCUAAGUCAUUAUUGACGCUGAUGCACGAAAGCGUGGGGAUCGAACAGGAUUAGAUACCCUGGUAGUCCACGCCCUAAACGAUGAUAACUCGAUGUUGGCGAUACACAGUCAGCGUCUUAGCGAAAGCGUUAAGUUAUCCACCUGGGGAGUACGCCCGCAAGGGUG